GUACUCGCUUCGGUGAUACAUAUACUAAAAUUGGAACGAUACAGAGAAGAUUAGCAUAGCCCCUGUGCAAGGAUGACACGCAAAAUCGUGAAGCGUUCCACAUUUUU
RNAcentral lists this small nuclear RNA (107 nucleotides) under Schistocerca americana (American grasshopper). The record is from RNAcentral. Lineage: Eukaryota; Metazoa; Arthropoda; Insecta; Orthoptera; Acrididae. RNAcentral also lists the same sequence under 1 other name.